RNAcentral lists this ribosomal RNA (76 nucleotides) under Ramalina complanata. RNAcentral's name for it is "partial 18S ribosomal RNA". The record is from RNAcentral. Lineage: Eukaryota; Fungi; Ascomycota; Lecanoromycetes; Lecanorales; Ramalinaceae.
UGUUUCAGACAUAGUCGAAUCCCUGGGCCUCCCCAGGGUUCCAUGUUCCGUAGGUGAACCUGCGGAAGGAUCAUUA